UCCCGGUUAACCCGGGCAGUCUCAUUAGAGUUCCCACCAUUACGUGCUGGCAACUAAUGAUAAGGGUUGCGCUCGUUGCGGGACUUAACCCAACACCUCACGGCACGAGCUGACGACAGCCAUGCAGCACCUGUGCACAGACCCCGAAGGGAAUAACUAUUUCUAGUUACGUCCUGUGCAUGUCAAGCCUGGGUAAGGUUCUUCGCGUUGCAUCGAAUUAAACCACAUGCUCCACUGCUUGUGCGGGUCCCCGUCAAUUCUUUUGAGUUUCACCCUUGCGAGCGUACUCCCCAGGCGGUAUACUUAUCGCGUUAGCUUCGACACAAUCGGGGUUGAGUCCGAUUACAUCAAGUAUACAUCGUUUACGGCAAGGACUAC
RNAcentral lists this unclassified non-coding RNA (378 nucleotides) under uncultured Parachlamydiaceae bacterium. RNAcentral's name for it is "contains 16S-23S intergenic spacer region". Lineage: Bacteria; Pseudomonadati; Chlamydiota; Chlamydiia; Parachlamydiales; Parachlamydiaceae. The record is from RNAcentral.